GGAAGUAAAAGCCGUAACAAGGUUUCCGUGGGUGAACCUGCGGAAGGAUCAUUAAUGAAUUUGAAAGGAGUUGUUGCUGGCUUGUAAACCCAAGCAUGUGCACACUCCAGUCUCAUCCAUCUUACACCUGUGCACCCUUGCGUGGGUCCGUCGGCUUUGCGGUCGUUCGGGCUUGCGUUUUUCUAUAAACUCUUAUGUAUGUAACAGAAUGUCUUAAUGCUAUAAACGCAUCUUAUACAACUUUCAACAACGGAUCUCUUGGCUCUC
RNAcentral lists this unclassified non-coding RNA (267 nucleotides) under plant metagenome. Its description in RNAcentral is "partial contains small subunit ribosomal RNA, internal transcribed spacer 1, and 5.8S ribosomal RNA". The stretch from base 1 to 54 matches the Rfam family "Eukaryotic small subunit ribosomal RNA", at positions 1778 to 1831 of the family's 1831-position model. The record is from RNAcentral.